RNAcentral lists this unclassified non-coding RNA (218 nucleotides) under soil metagenome. RNAcentral's name for it is "partial contains 5.8S ribosomal RNA, internal transcribed spacer 2, and large subunit ribosomal RNA". The record is from RNAcentral.
AACCUUAUGGACCUGCGGGCGUAUACCUGCGGAAGGAUCAUUACAAGUGACCCCGGUCUAACCACCGGGAUGUUCAUAACCCUUUGUUGUCCGACUCUGUUGCCUCCGGGGCGACCCUGCCUUCGGGCGGGGGCUCCGGGUGGACACUUCAAACUCUUGCGUAACUUUGCAGUCUGAGUAAACUUAAUUAAUAAAUUAAAACUUUUAACAACGGAUCU